RNAcentral lists this unclassified non-coding RNA (236 nucleotides) under fungal sp. RNAcentral's name for it is "partial internal transcribed spacer region". The stretch from base 1 to 46 matches the Rfam family "Eukaryotic small subunit ribosomal RNA", at positions 1786 to 1831 of the family's 1831-position model. The record is from RNAcentral. Lineage: Eukaryota; Fungi.
AAGUCGUAACAAGGUUUCCGUAGGUGAACCUGCGGAAGGAUCAUUACUGCUUGCUCACGGCUUCGCUUGGGCAACCGAGUGAGGCCAGGCAUGCCACCCUUGUCUAUGUAUACCUGUUGUUAUUCCCUCGGUAGGGUGACCUGCCGCUGGGAUCACAUUAACUCUUGUAUGAAGCAUACAAUUUCUGAAUCAUAAACAAAUCAUUACAACUUUCAACAAUGGAUCUCUUGGUUCUG